RNAcentral lists this non-coding RNA (29 nucleotides) under Homo sapiens (human). The record is from RNAcentral. Lineage: Eukaryota; Metazoa; Chordata; Mammalia; Primates; Hominidae.
UCUGCCUAUGUGAUGAUGAAAUCUCUGCA